This 74-nucleotide transfer RNA is filed under the name Planctomycetota bacterium. Its description in RNAcentral is "Planctomycetes bacterium (hydrothermal vent metagenome) tRNA-Arg". It matches the Rfam family "tRNA". Rfam says of the family: Transfer RNA (tRNA) molecules are approximately 80 nucleotides in length. Their secondary structure includes four short double-helical elements and three loops (D, anti-codon, and T loops). The record is from RNAcentral. Lineage: Bacteria; Pseudomonadati; Planctomycetota.
GCACCCCUAGCUCAACUGGAUAGAGCAUCGGUCUACGGAACCGAAGGUUGCAGGUUCGAGUCCUGCGGGGUGUA